CUGCUCAAUGAUUUUUUAAAUUGCUGUGGUAUUAUGACUAAUACGAAGGUAUUGUAAUAAGAGCUUUAAUUGGGUGCUAAGAGAAUGGUUUAACAAAAAUAAGCUUUUUUUUUGUUUAUAUUAAAAGUUAAUUUAAAAAUGAGAAAGUUUUUAUAAAUUUUUAGGACAAGAAGACCCUAUGAAUUUUUUUAAAGACUUUUCUUUUUUGGUCCUUUAAAAAAAUUCAAGGAAAGUUUUUAAUUAAUUGGGGCGAUUUUUAAAUUUUUAAAAACUUUAAAAAUGUAUUAUUGGAUCCAAUAUUAUUGAUAUUUUAAAAAAAAUACUCUAGGGAUAACAGCGUUAUUACUUUGGAUAGUUCAUAUAGAUAAAGUAGAUUGCGACCUCGAUGUUGGACUUAGGAUACCUUUAUUAAUGAAGAAGUUAUAAGAGGAGGCUUUGCUCAACCGUUUUAAUUAACUACUUGAUCUGAGUUCAGACCGG
RNAcentral lists this ribosomal RNA (480 nucleotides) under Ornithodoros moubata. Its description in RNAcentral is "16S ribosomal RNA". The stretch from base 164 to 480 matches the Rfam family "Archaeal large subunit ribosomal RNA", at positions 2155 to 2688 of the family's 2987-position model. Lineage: Eukaryota; Metazoa; Arthropoda; Arachnida; Ixodida; Argasidae. The record is from RNAcentral.